CAGUAGCCGCGGGAAUACGUAGGGUGCAAGCGUUAAUCGGAAUUACUGGGCGUAAAGCGUGCGCAGGCGGUUCGCUAAGACAGAUGUGAGAUCCCCGGGCUUAACCUGGGAACUGCAUUUGUGACUGGCGGGCUAGAGUAUGGCAGAGGGGGGUAGAAUUCCACGUGUAGCAGUGAAAUGCGUAGAGAUGUGGAGGAAUACCGAUGGCGAAGGCAGCCCCCUGGGCCAAUACUGACGCUCAUGCACGAAAGCGUGGGAGCAAACAGGAUUAGAUACCCCUGUAGUCCCUGUCUCUUAUACC
RNAcentral lists this ribosomal RNA (301 nucleotides) under uncultured bacterium. RNAcentral describes it as "partial 16S ribosomal RNA". It matches the Rfam family "Bacterial small subunit ribosomal RNA", at positions 509 to 808 of the family's 1533-position model. The record is from RNAcentral.